Molecule: unclassified non-coding RNA, 414 nt
Filed under: Hevea brasiliensis (rubber tree)
Lineage: Eukaryota; Viridiplantae; Streptophyta; Magnoliopsida; Malpighiales; Euphorbiaceae
Source: RNAcentral
UGGGACAAGUUUUUCCAUGUAAGUUCUUAUAUCGUUAUGCUAAAUGUGCGUACUUUUUCUGGAUAUUUUAUACUUGUUCAGUUUCUUUGGGAAUUUUUAUCAAUGUUGAUUUCUAAUCUAUCAAAUAGAACAAACAUAGUUCAGGUUGAAACAUUUAUAAAGCAAUUCCCUUUAUUCAAAUCCUAUUGUCUCUUACUUCAAACAAUUCCCUUGAUUAUUAAUAUUUGAAAAAAAAGAGUUUGCAACAAAGAGCUGUUUAGUUGUUUUGUAAUUCUUAUAACUGAAACAUGUCAACUAUAAUUUUAAAUCAUUUUUUAAUACCCUCUAACUAACAUAUUUAUGGAGGUGUUUUUCUUAAUAGCAACUCUAACAACAAUGCCAAAUAGACCCUUAGAAGUUUUUGUGGCAGGUGGG